UACGGAGGGUGCGAGCGUUGUCCGGAAUCAUUGGGCGUAAAGGGCGCGUAGGUGGCCCGGUCAGUUCGUGGUGAAAGCGCGGGGCUCAACCCUGCGUCGGCCAUGAAUACUGCCGCGGCUGGAGCACUGUAGAGGCAGGCGGAAUUCCGGGUGUAGCGGUGGAAUGCGUAGAGAUCCGGAAGAACACCGGUGGCGAAGGCGGCCUGCUGGGCAGUUGCUGACACUGAGACGCGAAAGCGUGGGGAGCAAACAGG
RNAcentral lists this ribosomal RNA (254 nucleotides) under uncultured bacterium. Its description in RNAcentral is "partial 16S ribosomal RNA". It matches the Rfam family "Bacterial small subunit ribosomal RNA", at positions 524 to 776 of the family's 1533-position model. The record is from RNAcentral.